GUCGUUUCUAAGGGCUUGCUUUCCGACUGUCUAGGCAAACGACAAGCUCAAAUGGUUAUCUGUUGACUGUUUACAACAGUAUGAAAUUUGCUAAAAUGCUAUACUGUGCUACUGUUUUGAUAUUCGGAUGUAUUAUGUUGUCGUCUGCUUGCAGACUUUCCCAACAUACUAUCCUGGGAGUCGAGAAAAAGUUGAAAGAAGAAAUUAACACUCAAGAAAAGAUGCUAAAAAUAAAUAUAGGAAAGAUACUUAGAAAAAAUAUAGGAAAGAUACUUAUAAAAAAUAUAGGCAAGAUACUUAUAAAAAAAGAACCGCUUCCACGUAAAACGUGUACAAAAGAAGUGUCAUUCAGGAAACAGACAGGUCAAAGUUCAACCUAUUCAUCGCGCUACCCUUCACGUUAUGGUGUUGACCACAGUCACUUUACAAUGUUUCAUACGAAAUUUGAACAGGAUCCAUAUUGGUGGGUAUUCCUCGGAAGCCCCUACUCAGUUCGUCGUGUCGAAAUGUGGAAUACGAGAAGAUUAGGUAGUAGAUUGCGUGAAAUGAAUAUUAUGGUUGGUCACACUUUAAAAAACAUGCGGAUAUGCAGGAGAUACAAAGGCCCGGCUAGUGAUGACCAGCACUUAAUUAUGAAAUGCUACUACGCUAUAACAGGACGGUUUGUCAAGAUUGCCUUAAAAGUCAAAGGAUACUUCCAUCUAAAUGAAGUUAAGGUGUAUGCGAAAUGUUGAAUCAACUUAUUAAAGAUUAAAUCUGC
This is a long non-coding RNA of Mytilus californianus (California mussel), 760 nucleotides long. RefSeq lists it as uncharacterized. NCBI's taxonomy places the organism in Eukaryota, Metazoa, Mollusca, Bivalvia, Mytilida, Mytilidae. The transcript is spliced from 4 exons. The record is from RefSeq and is a predicted model, not a curated record.